This 253-nucleotide ribosomal RNA is filed under the name uncultured bacterium. RNAcentral describes it as "partial 16S ribosomal RNA". It matches the Rfam family "Bacterial small subunit ribosomal RNA", at positions 524 to 776 of the family's 1533-position model. The record is from RNAcentral.
UACAGAGGUCUCAAGCGUUGUUCGGAUUCAUUGGGCGUAAAGGGUGCGUAGGCGGCGCGGUAAGUCGGGUGUGAAAUCUUGGAGCUUAACUCCGAAACUGCAUUCGAUACUGCCGUGCUUGAGGACUGGAGAGGAGACUGGAAUUUACGGUGUAGCGGUGAAAUGCGUAGAUAUCGUAAGGAAGACCAGUGGCGAAGGCGGGUCUCUGGACAGUUCCUGACGCUGAAGCACGAAGGCCAGGGGAGCAAACGGG